UACGUAGGGGGCAAGCGUUGUCCGGAAUCAUUGGGCGUUAAAGGCGCGCGUAGGCGGCCCGGUAAGUCCGCUGUAAAAGUCCAGGGGCUCAACCCCUGGAAAGCCGGUGGAUACUGUCGGGCUAGAGUCCGGAAGAGGCGAGUGAAAUUCCUGGUGUAGCGGUGGAAUGCGCAGAGUAUCAAGGAGGAACACCGAUGGCGAAGGCAGCUCGCUGGGACGGUACUGACGCUGAGGCGCGAAAGCGUGGGGAGCGAACAG
This 258-nucleotide ribosomal RNA is filed under the name uncultured bacterium. Its description in RNAcentral is "partial 16S ribosomal RNA". It matches the Rfam family "Bacterial small subunit ribosomal RNA", at positions 524 to 775 of the family's 1533-position model. The record is from RNAcentral.